CCCUUAGAUGUUCUGGGCCGCACGCGCGCUACACUGAUGCAUUCAACGAGUUUCUUCCUGGUCCGAGAGGAAUGGGUAACCUUUUGAAAGUGCAUCGUGAUAGGGAUAGACUAUUGCAAUUAUUGGUCUUCAACGAGGAAUUCCUAGUAGACGUAGUUCAUCAGACUGCAUCGAUUACGUCCCUGCCCUUUGUAGACACCGCCCGUCGCUCCUACCGAUUGAAUGCUCAGGUGAGCCAUUCGGACUUUCAUCAUGCUGGUUUCCAGUUUUGAUGAAGGAAAGUCUUGCGAACCUUAUCAUUUAGAGGAAGGAGAAGUCGUAACA
Molecule: ribosomal RNA, 324 nt
Filed under: uncultured eukaryote
Lineage: Eukaryota
Description: partial 18S ribosomal RNA
Rfam family: Eukaryotic small subunit ribosomal RNA
Source: RNAcentral